AUUGAACGCUGGCGGCAUGCUUUACACAUGCAAGUCGAACGGCAGCGCGGGCUUCGGCCUGGCGGCGAGUGGCGAACGGGUGAGUAAUGCAUCGGAACGUGCCCAGUAGUGGGGGAUAGCCCGGCGAAAGCCGGAUUAAUACCGCAUACGACCUGAGGGUGAAAGCGGGGGACCGAAAGGCCUCGCGCUAUUGGAGCGGCCGAUGUCGGAUUAGCUAGUUGGUGGGGUAAAGGCUUACCAAGGCGACGAUCCGUAGCUGGUCUGAGAGGACGACCAGCCACAGGGGAGCGAGAACGCGCCCGAGACCCCGCGGGGGGGCAGCGGGGGGAAUUUUGGGAAAAGGGGGGCACCCCUGACCCACCAUGGCCGGGGGGGGAAAAAGGGCGUCGGGUUUGAACACCGGUUUUUUGGGGAAAGAACCCCUGGGGCCUAAACCCCGGGGGGAAGGAGGGUCCAGAAAAAAAAAGCACCGACAAACUACGGG
RNAcentral lists this ribosomal RNA (484 nucleotides) under uncultured bacterium. Its description in RNAcentral is "partial 16S ribosomal RNA". It matches the Rfam family "Bacterial small subunit ribosomal RNA", at positions 29 to 507 of the family's 1533-position model. The record is from RNAcentral.